Long non-coding RNA from Pectinophora gossypiella (pink bollworm), 218 nucleotides. RefSeq lists it as uncharacterized. NCBI's taxonomy places the organism in Eukaryota, Metazoa, Arthropoda, Insecta, Lepidoptera, Gelechiidae. The record is from RefSeq and is a predicted model, not a curated record. The transcript is spliced from 2 exons.
AAAAAACAAAAUGGCCGAAAAACAAGAUGGCCGCCAUACAAAUUUUUGUUUUUCCAGAAAAUGUCUCAGAGGUAAAAUUGAUGUAUAGGGGUGUGAUCGGAACGUCAUCUUGGAAAACUGCUCCGCAUCACGGAGACACCCUACGGCCUGGCAAAACUAUAGCACCUAGAACUUUUUUGAUUUCACGAGUCCUAUUUAAAUCUUGGUCAAAUUUUAUC